AGAUGGCGACCGGCGCACGGGUGAGUAACACGUAUCCAACCUGCCGAUAACUCGGGGAUAGCCUUUCGAAAGAAAGAUUAAUACCCGAUGGUAUAAUCAGACCGCAUGGUUUGAUUAUUAAAGAAUUUCGGUUAUCGAUGGGGAUGCGUUCCAUUAGGCAGUUGGUGAGGUAACGGCUCACCAAACCUUCGAUGGAUAGGGGUUCUGAGAGGAAGGUCCCCCACAUUGGAACUAAGACACGGUCCAA
This 247-nucleotide ribosomal RNA is filed under the name uncultured bacterium. Its description in RNAcentral is "partial 16S ribosomal RNA". It matches the Rfam family "Bacterial small subunit ribosomal RNA", at positions 86 to 334 of the family's 1533-position model. The record is from RNAcentral.